CGUCGGAAUCUACCCNANAGUGGGGAAUAACCCAGAGAAAUUUGGGCUAAUACCGCAUAAUCCCUUCGGGGCAAAGACCGUAACUGGUCGCUAUGGGAGGAGCCUGCGUCCUAUCAGCUUGUUGGUGAGGUAAAAGCUUACCAAGGCUAUGACGGGUAGGGGGUGUGANACACNACCCCCCACAANGUCACUGAAACACNNCNCCUACACCUACGGGUGGCANCAACUGGGAAUAUUGCNCAAUGGAC
This 248-nucleotide ribosomal RNA is filed under the name uncultured bacterium. Its description in RNAcentral is "partial 16S ribosomal RNA". It matches the Rfam family "Bacterial small subunit ribosomal RNA", at positions 116 to 376 of the family's 1533-position model. The record is from RNAcentral.